CUACCCAUAUCCCAGGUAAAUAAAGCUGGCCCAGUGGAAUUUUUUGUAAUUAUAAGGGUUAAUGAAAUUGGAAGCAUAGAACUAGUGGGUCAUUGGUUGCAUAAGAACCCAUUCAGAAGUUUGCUCCAUCAAGGAUAAGGUGCUCAUCUUGAGAUGGUGGGUACAAUUAUCCAGAUUGACACUAAGUAUAGUGGCUUCAGUGGAGUGGUGUUCAGCCAUUCAGAGUUUCAGACACCCAGUCUUUACUUUUGGCCAAUUUUCAGAUGUCCUGUUUAUCAAAUGUAGCUUUCCUCUAGACUGGUUAUACUUAGCCAGAUUACCAUUUGAGAAAUGGGACAUCAUGUUCUUGGUUAAGGAAAAAGAAGAAGUUAUUAGUUGGUGAUCUGUCAGUUAGACUCUUUGUGAGAAGUAUCUUCUUCCUUGAUCCCUAUCGUGAAUUACUAAACAUGUAUGGUUUUCGGUCAAGCAAUUCUCCAAUUUGAGCUCUUCAGUUGCAAAUAGACUGAUCAAACCAUGACCUUUUCAUUCAUCUGAGAUAAUAAGUAUGCUUCGAAACUCAUUACAUACUGAAAAGAUGGCCUUGAAAUAAUUUGUCUAUGCAAUGAUGAAACGAGUUUCAUUCUUCUCUGUUUCAUUGAACACUGUAGCAUGUAUAUCAUUUCUCUUCACCAUUUUCCCCUCCUUUUCCAUUCUUUUGCUGUUUAUGAGAUUGUGGAAUUUAUGAUUUGUUUAAGUAUUAUAGAUAUAUGCUUAAUGCUAAUAUAUGGAUUUCAGCUUCAAAGUCUCUCAAGUCACAGGUUACUCAGGCUUCUCAUUAGAUCUGUGUGGAUUGAUUCUUUCUGUUGAAUCCUCUCAUGGCUGUGCAUGACUAGAAUUUCAUCAAGGGACCUGUGGAAGGAGCAUGUUACUUGUCCAUGUCAGUUUUUGCCAGGAUGUUCAUGUAUUUACAGAGGGUUGCAGUUGUGAUUGGAAGUCCUAUUCAUGCUUUAACUUGAUUAUAAGAUUGUUAAGUUAUGGCAUCAACUGUGUAGGCAUCACUUUUCUGAUGCUAAUUUUUGUCAUCAAUGUAUUCUGUAAUCUAGCUUAUCUUUUUACGACUUUUUUGAACUUUUGAGUUAUUCGAGGUGUGCUAUCAAUGUCUCUGAGCUCCAGAGUUCUGGACCAAACCAUGUGUCAUCCCUAAUGACGAUAAAGAGGACAAUGAUUUGCAUAUGUUUCAUGUAGAUUUCCUGGCAAAGAAUUGGAAUUAGUGGAUUUAAUGUUCCCAAUUAUUCCAA
Molecule: long non-coding RNA, 1277 nt
Organism: Eucalyptus grandis
Lineage: Eukaryota; Viridiplantae; Streptophyta; Magnoliopsida; Myrtales; Myrtaceae
Exons: 2
Source: RefSeq, a predicted model, not a curated record